Molecule: long non-coding RNA, 5794 nt
Filed under: Gallus gallus (chicken)
Lineage: Eukaryota; Metazoa; Chordata; Aves; Galliformes; Phasianidae
Description: lncRNA (ENSGALG00010011613.1)
Source: RNAcentral
GUUCAAAUUUGCAUGAAAAAGGAGAAAGAAAACCUGUUUUUGCUAGUCUAGGCAAUACAGUGUGCCAGAAGCUAAUGAGACAUGAAUAAGGCCAGAAAUGCACAUCUUUUCACUUCUUUAAACUUUCUGUCUUUCAGCUGCUUCUGACUUUUCCUCAGAUAUCAGCACAACUUUACUGUGCUGACAAAGUCUAUGUGUGUUCAUACGGCUAGAAAACACCAAAAAUCCCUUGUUUCAUCCUUUUUUUCCCCUUCCAAUCUAAAUGUAUGGCUCAAGGUGAGAAACUGAAUUGUCUAUUUUCACAGUACUAAAUGGCAUUAUAAAAAAGGGAAGUGAAACUCUUCAGACAGUAUACUCUAGCAAGGUUUUAUUCUUGUUCUUCUGUUUUUCAGUAUUACUCUCAAUAAUAUUUUCUACAAGGGACAGUGAAACUUUAAGAAUUUGAUCCAGCACUGAGAUUAUUCCAACAUUAAGACAGCAUUUUUAUAGGCUAUUUGAGCCAUUCCCAAUGCAGGCUUCUCAGCUCUGCCCACUGCCAGACACAUUCUCUUUUCUAGGCAAUAGAUCAUGGAUUUAUCCCACCAAACAAGAAAAUUUGACUUAGAGAAGUCACAGCCUUGCUCACUGUAGAAAUAUGCAAAUACAAUACCAGUUGUGAGAUCAAUAUUCAUUAAAAAGAUUGUUUCAAAAUAAAGAAAAAUAUCCACCUAAAUUAGCUCAAAUUCCACCCUUAUAGAGAAGUCCAAUAACAUGUUCAUUUUAAAAUAGCCUACAUAAAUGAGAGACUUACAAAGGAAAACUGAUUCAAAGCCUUACUCACUUUUUUCCACUGAAAAUCUUCAAGAAGCUCUGCAUUUACUGUUUGAAGAGUAAGUCCAUUAAACAACCUCAAGUGCUUGGGUGCACAUACUUAUACAAAACUCUGAUAAGUUCAUCCAUUUUAUUACUUUUGACUUAUAUAGGAAAUCGAAGAGACUCCAAAGUAAUAAUAAAGAUGAAUUCCUUCCUCACCACUCGAAAGAAAUCCAAAGAGUAAUUCUAAAUUCUCCUUUGAACACACCUCGAACAAGGCCUGUAAUUUCUCCUGUUGCUCUGGAAGGAUAAAAUACAAUAUUUUACAACAUAAUACAAUUCAUUACAAAAUUAAUUAUAUAUAUAUAUUUAAUCAUUACUCUGAGAAAACAUGCUAUGAGAUUCUAGUAACUGAUCUGGCAGGUGAUCUUCAUGUAAGAGGUAAAGAAAAACAGCAUUUACUUAACUGAUAACUAAAGCUAACAGAAUAAGAAAAUCUGACUCAAUAUUGCUCACAAUCAACAAGACAGGAAUAAUGGAUUGCUUAGACCCUUCGUUCUACCACUGAUGCCUCUUUGGAUCCUUAUGAGCAUCAUGUAAGAAUUUCACUGGUCAUCACUGAGAAGCUGCACAAGGUUUGAUGCUGACCCCUGUAUAACUCUGGUGCAAUUCACCACCAAUUAAUUCAGUAUCAUAUAAUCAUGUAAUCAUAGAAUCAUACAAUGGCCUGGGUUGAAAAUGACCACAAUGAUCAUCGAGUUUUAACCCCCCUGCUAUGUGCAGCAUCACCAACCAGCAGACCAGGCUGCCCAGAGCCACAUCCAGCCUGGCCUUGAAUGCCUGCAGGGAUAGGGCAUCCACAACCUCCUUGGGAAACCUGUUCCAAUGUGUCACCACCCUCUGAGUAUCCAUUAUGAGAAUCCAACUGUUCAUAAACUACAUAGGUCGCUCUAAAAGUAAUGCAUAUAUUUCCAUGGAAGGUACAAUGCAUACAAAGAACAAAAUAACACUAUUGAAUAGAGUGAAUUUUCAGCUACAAAAAACAAUCAUCACCAUUAGCAGAAUGUGUGGAUGAGCUGAUUGAGACUGUCUUCAGUUCAUGGUCUGACAGCUGUGCAUGGCUGUCUAGAACAUGGUUUGUAUUUCAUGUCAUUAUCACCACUGCAGAAAUACAAAACCCACCCCUUGUUGUGCUCAAACCCACUGUUUGGUCUCCAUAAACAUUCCGUAAGCAUCAAUGAAUGUCAGUAGGUGCUGCUUUUUCUUCAAGGAAGAAUUCAAUUACACACCUUUGCUCCAUACCCAUUUCCAUGUCAGAUGCCGUACUUUCAGACUGUCUUUCUGCUGUUGUCUGUCACACAGAACAAAAUGUAGCAGGAUAUUGGUGGGAAGACUCAGUAUCUACUGUCAUCCCACUGACAUCUGCCUCUGACGUCGUGGCCCAAGACAAUAAAAUAGAAGGCAUUACUUUUGGAGCAUCCUUUGCAGUAGAAAUGCACGAUGUGCAGCCCACUCCCCUUCCCUGGCAAAGGGUAGAAGAUUUUUCUGCACUUUGGCCAUUUUUACUCUCAUCCAUCACAGCUACUGUCAGCAGGAUGCAACAUUUUCUUUAGAAUGGAAUUAAAAUCUGAAUUUUCAUGAUGAUCCCUUGAGCGAUGAGGUAAACUCAGACCAGAAGUGUCGCUUAUCCUAUUGGUAACCAGAGCUGCAGUUUGCAGUUUACUAUAACUGCAAAUGGUGGGUAUUAAGGAGGAUUAAAAUAAAUACUUGGAGUGUGCAGAGCCCCCUCAGCAUCAUGACCUGAUGAACGCUGUUUCUCUGUAGUUGAUUAAACACAGAUUGAACUGCUAGCUGUUCCGUGCUUCCAUUGGCUCACUCUUCUUCAGAUGCACUAAUCUUGGAAAAAGCUGCCCACACCCUAAACUUUAUACCCCACAAUUUUGGCUUUGAUUUCACUGGAAUUAGCACACGAGGGAAGGUACAAGUUAUAUUCUUUCCAUGGUCUCAUGAGUGAUAUUAUUAUUUCAAGGCCAGGCUGGAUGUGGCUCUGGGCAGCCUGGUCUGCUGGUUGGUGACCCUGCACAUAGCAGAGGGUUGGAACGAGAUGAGCAUUGUGGUCCUUUUCAACCCAGGCCAUUCUAUAAUUCUAUGAUUUUAUGAUUAGGAUCAGGCUUGAGUCCUCAUGAUCUUUGUCAGAUGAUGGAGCCUCAUCCUAACACGACUGUCAGCAGCUCAUUUCUCUGUGCCUUACUCAACAACCCCCAGAUCCACUGCAAAUUCAGUAGGAAUGACCAAACCCAUGAGCAACACCAAUUUAUCACCUCCAACUUGCUCCUUCAUGAAAACGCCAACCAACCAGCCAACCUCGGAGCAGUCCCGGCCAACCCAAACGAUGCCAUGCAACUGCCGAAGCGGCGACAGCUCUUCGCAUUGUCUGCAAAGCGUGGCGGGGGUCUCUGCUGGAGCGGAGCGAUGGGAGUUUUCGUUGUAGCAACAUUGCCACCUAGUGCUGCCGUGAUGCAGUUCCGACACCGGGAAAUCCGGCUCUUGAGCAACCGAAGCAGCAGAACAGGUUGGUGUGACUUCCUCAUUCCGUAUUUUAGCCACGCUGCCACCUCUCUUCCCUCGGUAUUCUCACUUUUAGUGAGAAAGAGGGAAUAUGCCUCUCCUGAAAUAACGGGAAUAACUCAAAGCUCGCCGGCUGGCUUUCACAACGGGCCUUUUGCAGUCUCCGCCUGUGCAAAGAACAGAUGAACAAAGAUUUUCAGAUGAGCGGUUGGAAACUUGUGAUUAAGGUGAAACACACACCAUGAAGCAGUAAAGAGCAGGCCUUGAUUUUCUUUUCACUCAUCUUCAAUGUUCAGGUCUGACUAAUAAGGAAUGCAGGAGCUUUCUCUAAAGUAUUUCCAAGUAAUUUUUUGGAAGCUGGUUCCAAUUUUCAGGCUACUGCUGAGGAGCUGGUUUGAACACAACAAUGGAGGCCCCUAAUUCAAUGUUGGCUUUGAAUGGAGGCAGGCUGUGAUGGUGAUACGUCACAACGAACUGGGAGGUGAUGGAGGAGGUAUGGAGGAGCGGACCCACCUAGAAAUGGCUCACCUCUGUGGUGGGUGUGGGAAGUCACUGGGUUUCAGAACAACCCAAUGGCUUAGCCUCACAUUAACUAAAGCCAUCCGUGAGAAACUGUCUUGUGAAUUUGCAUGAAACAUAUUUCUUGGGUUAGGCAGGAAAUCAAAAUUUCUUCAAGGAAGCUGAUACUAAAACCACUCUGAAAACGAAGUCUCCGAAGGCCUUACCUCACACAACACAGCCACAAACACCUGCUUCCGCUUCAGUUUCUCCUCCUAUUCAAAACUAAAGAGAGUAUUUCCAGAUCUCUGGAGCAGCUGUUCAUUUUAAGCCAGAUACGUAGCAGUAAGACACUCACUGAUGGCCUGAGGAUGGGAAAACACUACAUUUAUCAAAAUAUUCUGAUUUCCUCACUUAGACAGUUGCUGGGUAGAGCAAUGGAAGUCUUUACCCAGAUUUUUCAUGCAGCAUUUUGAAUCCUGAGUUAGAAACCAGUGAGUGUAUGUGACAUAUUUCAGGAGAUGUUCGUCGAUAGUGAAUGCGAGAUGCAAAUUCAACUAAAGUCCACAGUUUAAUCCUCAUUAAGAGGCUCAUUGGUGUCCACUUUAUCAGGAUAAUGAGAUAGAAAACAUGAGUCCUUAGGGGGACCCUAAUUAGGCGUUCUGGCAGGCCUGUUCAAGCAAGUAUAUCAUUUGAGGGGAUUGCUACCAUUGCGUUUUGUUGCUGACAUGCAUUUGCAAAUGCAUCUUGUGCUUCUAAGCUUUCAGUGCAUCUGGGGAUCCAGUUCAAGUAGCUCUCAUGAUUUUUCAAAUCCUUCCUCCAAAUCCCUACAGCCUUUCAGUCCCUCUGCCCAGUCAGACAUCACCUAUAGGGCUCCUUAAAAAUAUAUAUAUCCUUGUUUCGGCAGUCAGUAUGGGAAGCAGUGAAUCUCACAGAUCCGAUGAAGGCUGAUCUUAGGGCAAAAGCACAGAAGUGAAAUCUCUGGUCAGAACAUACACCCUAUCCAAGAUGGGUUGAAUGGUUUAAUUUCUCUGUGCCUCUGAUCCAUGCCUGUAAAAUGGGGGGAAAAUACUUUGCUUGCUUGUGCUCCUUUUCCUCUCACUACAAUUGUAUAUCUAGUAAGUACAGAUUCUUCAGACAAAAUAAUAUGGUUUUUUUCUAUGUGUACCACACAAGAUCUCCAGAGAUGAUUGUGAGUCUUAUCUGUUCCUGCAAGAUAAGCAUAUCCUCACCAAAUUGCAUCCCUGUUGGAUCAUAGCACACUUCCCUUCUCUGCUUUCUCCACAGCUUAACUGCUGCUUGGCCAUCAGAUAGUACUUGGCAGCUAAUCUAGCCAAUGUAAAUGUUUUCAUGGACAGGCAAUUUUCCAGGAGCUGAAUGACUCUGCAGUGCUCUGACCCCAGAAGCCAGGAAGGACUUUAAACACUCAGUGCAGCCACUGGCUCCGGAAUGCCCCGGGCUGUCAGCUGGUAGGCUCUGGUGCAAGUACUGGAGAUACCUGCCUGUUCCAGCCCUGCUCUUUCUCUCUUUCCCAUAGCCCUUUUACUGGCCUCUAGUCAGAGACAGGCUGCCAAACCACAGGGAAGUUUGGUGUGCCCACAAUGGCAAUAAAAGCAGUCUAUCCUUUCACUCCUAUACUAAUAAUGCAAUUUAAUAAUUUAUUACACCAUCGGUAAUAAAGCAAGUCAGUGAUUUUUGCCCUACGUAGAUCCGAUUUCUCUUCUUCCACACCCAAUGGCUGCGCAUGGAUUUCCUACCAGGAGUAAUCCCAAUAUGCACACCCCCCCCAGAAACCACCUGGUUUUUUGCUGUUUGACCUGGGCCAGAGCAGAGCUAUGAGUCCAGAAGCCAUUCUGGCAAGUAACAAUAUAGUUGAACUCAUGACAGUGCUCAGAACUUGCCGUGCUGCUACUAAAUACAGACAGUUCUGUUAUGG